CGCUGCAAUAUGUGCUAACUGC
This 22-nucleotide non-coding RNA is filed under the name Arabidopsis thaliana (thale cress). Lineage: Eukaryota; Viridiplantae; Streptophyta; Magnoliopsida; Brassicales; Brassicaceae. The record is from RNAcentral.